UUGGGGACAAAAGUAAAAUGAAU
RNAcentral lists this non-coding RNA (23 nucleotides) under Cricetulus griseus (Chinese hamster). Lineage: Eukaryota; Metazoa; Chordata; Mammalia; Rodentia; Cricetidae. The record is from RNAcentral.